RNAcentral lists this transfer RNA (71 nucleotides) under Salamandra salamandra (fire salamander). Its description in RNAcentral is "tRNA-Ser". It matches the Rfam family "tRNA". From Rfam's summary of the family: Transfer RNA (tRNA) molecules are approximately 80 nucleotides in length. The record is from RNAcentral. Lineage: Eukaryota; Metazoa; Chordata; Amphibia; Caudata; Salamandridae.
AAGAAAGUGAUAGAUUGGUCAUAUGAUUAACUUGAAAUUAAUUUAAGGAGGUUCGAUUCCUUCCUUUCUUG